RNAcentral lists this ribosomal RNA (161 nucleotides) under Atraphaxis pyrifolia. RNAcentral's name for it is "5.8S ribosomal RNA". It matches the Rfam family "5.8S ribosomal RNA". From Rfam's summary of the family: 5.8S ribosomal RNA (5.8S rRNA) is a component of the large subunit of the eukaryotic ribosome. It is transcribed by RNA polymerase I as part of the 45S precursor that also contains 18S and 28S rRNA. Functionally, it is thought that 5.8S rRNA may be involved in ribosome translocation. The record is from RNAcentral. Lineage: Eukaryota; Viridiplantae; Streptophyta; Magnoliopsida; Caryophyllales; Polygonaceae.
CGACUCUGAGCAACAAAUAUCUCGGCUCUCGCAUCGAUGAAGAACAUAGCGAAAUGCGAUACUUGGUGUAAAUUGCAGAAUCCCUUGAACCAUCGAGUCUUUGAAUGCAAGUUGCGCCCGAAGCCCUCGUGGCUAGGGCACGUCUGUCUAGGCAUCACGCA